GACGUAGGGGGCGAGCGUUGUCCGGAAUUACUGGGCGUAAAGAGCACGUAGGCGGGAAUAUAAGUCAGGUGUGAAAGACCGCAGCUUAACUGCGGGGUUGCACAUGAAACUGUAUUUCUUGAGGGCAGGAGAGGAAAGCAGAAUUCCUGGUGUAGCGGUGAAAUGCGUAGAAAUCAGGAGGAAUACCAGUGGCGAAGGCGGCUUUCUGGACUGACCCUGACGCUGAGGUGCGAAAGCGUGGGUAGCAAACAGG
This 253-nucleotide ribosomal RNA is filed under the name uncultured prokaryote. Its description in RNAcentral is "partial 16S ribosomal RNA". It matches the Rfam family "Bacterial small subunit ribosomal RNA", at positions 524 to 776 of the family's 1533-position model. The record is from RNAcentral.